GAUGAACGCUAGCUAUAGGCUUAACACAUGCAAGUCGAGGGGAAACGGCAUUAUGUGCUUGCACAUUUUGGACGUCGACCGGCGCACGGGUGAGUAUCGCGUAUCCAACCUUCCCUCCACUCGGGGAUACCCCGUUGAAAGACGGCCUAAUACCCGAUGUUGUCCACAUAUGGCAUCUGACGUGGACCAAAGAUUCAUCGGUGGAGGAUGGGGAUGCGUCUGAUUAGCUUGUUGGUGCGGGUAACGGCCCACCAAGGCGACGAUCAGUAGGGGUUCUGAGAGGAAGGUCCCCCACAUUGGAACUGAGACACGGUCCAAACUCCUACGGGAGGCAGCAGUGAGGAAUAUUGGUCAAUGGACGUAAGUCUGAACCAGCCAAGUAGCGUGCAGGAUUGACGGCCCUAUGGGUUGUAAACUGCUUUUGUUGGGGAGUAAAGUGAGGCACGCGUGCCUUUUUGCAUUUACCCUUCGAAUAAGGACCGGCUAAUUCCGUGCCAGCAGCCGCGGUAAUACGGAAGGUCCAGGCGUUAUCCGGAUUUAUUGGGUUUAAAGGGAGUGUAGGCGGUCUGUUAAGCGUGUUGUGAAAUUUAGGUGCUCAACAUUUAACUUGCAGCGCGAACUGGCGGACUUGAGUGCACGCAACGUAUGCGGAAUUCAUGGUGUAGCGGUGAAAUGCUUAGAUAUCAUGACGAACUCCGAUUGCGAAGGCAGCGUACGGGAGUGUUACUGACGCUUAAGCUCGAAGGUGCGGGUAUCGAACAGG
Molecule: ribosomal RNA, 763 nt
Filed under: uncultured Prevotella sp.
Lineage: Bacteria; Pseudomonadati; Bacteroidota; Bacteroidia; Bacteroidales; Prevotellaceae
Description: bacterial SSU rRNA
Rfam family: Bacterial small subunit ribosomal RNA
Source: RNAcentral